CCCGCAGAAACCCGCCAUCAUAUUAGAACGAGAGGUUGAAUUGUUUACACAUUUGACGUCCUGUUCUUUUGGCUUUACGAGUUGCACAAUUUUAUAACAGACCUUCGUUUGAUACAUGAUACCGUGAUCAUGAUCCUAAAUAGAUUUCGAGGAUUAGGUUUGUCUACAAUACGAGAUACCCAAAAGUUGACAGUUUUAAGAUCUGCUGUACUGUCAAGCAAGCCAUACUGUAGUAGUGUGGAGAGGAAAUCACCCAUCACAGAUGAAACAGAUGAAAGCCAUUAUACAGUUCCUCAACAUCAUCUCUCAUAUUUGGAUAAAAUUACCUUAAAAUUGUUUGGAAACAUCAAAGGUGAAAUUCCAUCUGAAGUCAGUUAUGCAGUGAUGGAGAAAGCAGAUUCAAAACGCCGUAUUGCCAUCAACCUCUUCUUGGUUGCAUUCUGUGGAUUUGGAUCCAUGAUUGUUGUGUAUAAUGUGAAGAAGAACCUACAAAAUGACACUCAACAGAACAUUUAUGCUCAGAAUAGUCAAAGAUACCAACAAGAAGAGAAAUAAACAAACAUCAUUUUAUUAUUCUACAAUAGUUUAGAACACUGUACAUAGUUAUAAAAUAGUUAUUCUCUAUUGUUAUG
Molecule: long non-coding RNA, 632 nt
Organism: Dendronephthya gigantea
Lineage: Eukaryota; Metazoa; Cnidaria; Anthozoa; Malacalcyonacea; Nephtheidae
Exons: 4
Source: RefSeq, a predicted model, not a curated record